This 253-nucleotide ribosomal RNA is filed under the name uncultured bacterium. RNAcentral describes it as "partial 16S ribosomal RNA". It matches the Rfam family "Bacterial small subunit ribosomal RNA", at positions 524 to 776 of the family's 1533-position model. The record is from RNAcentral.
UACGAAGGGGGCUAGCGUUGCUCGGAAUCACUGGGCGUAAAGCGCACGUAGGCGGAUUGUUAAGUCAGGGGUGAAAUCCUGGAGCUCAACUCCAGAACUGCCUUUGAUACUGACGAUCUCGAGUCCGGGAGAGGUGAGUGGAACUGCGAGUGUAGAGAUGAAAUUCGUAGAUAUUCGCAAGAACACCAGUGGCGAAGGCGGCUCACUGGUCCAUUACUGACGCUGAGGUGCGAAAGCGUGGGGAGCAAACAGG